UUUUUCUUCAUCCCGCUCCACUAGUAUCUAAUCUUCAAAUUUAAGUACGUCUUCGUGCUUCCUAGAUGCAUCACAAACUUGGAGUAAUGUGCUUCUUCUAAUAAGUCUUCUUUUAGUUUGUUGUCAUGGGGCACACAUAAACGAUUUCCAAAUCUUAAUGUACCAUCCUUUGUAAGGUUAAAUUUUGGCUUGAGUCCCUUGAUAACAUCAUCUCUAAUCAUCUGUAAUGUAGAGUAUGACUCUAGAUAU
This 249-nucleotide long non-coding RNA is filed under the name Carica papaya (papaya). RNAcentral's name for it is "long non-coding RNA (CPAP_LNC009866)". Lineage: Eukaryota; Viridiplantae; Streptophyta; Magnoliopsida; Brassicales; Caricaceae. The record is from RNAcentral.